RNAcentral lists this ribosomal RNA (472 nucleotides) under uncultured bacterium. Its description in RNAcentral is "partial 16S ribosomal RNA". It matches the Rfam family "Bacterial small subunit ribosomal RNA", at positions 28 to 507 of the family's 1533-position model. The record is from RNAcentral.
GACGAACGCUGGCGGCGUGCUUAACACAUGCAAGUCGAACGAUGAACCCGGAGCUUGCUCUGGGGGAUUAGUGGCGAACGGGUGAGUAACACGUGAGUAACCUGCCCUGGACUCUGGGAUAAGCGUUGGAAACGACGUCUAAUACCGGAUAGAACCUUGGAUCGCAUGAUCUGGGGUGGAAAGUUUUUUCGGUCUGGGGUGGACUCGCGGCCUAUCAGCUUGUUGGUGAGGUAAUGGCUCACCAAGGCGUCGACGGGUAGCCGGCCUGAGAGGGUGACCGGCCACACUGGGACUGAGACACGGCCCAGACUCCUACGGGAGGCAGCAGUGGGGAAUAUUGCACAAUGGGCGAAAGCCUGAUGCAGCAACGCCGCGUGCGGGAUGACGGCCUUCGGGUUGUAAACCGCUUUUAGUAGGGAAGAAGGGCUUCGGCUUGACGGUACCUGCAGAAAAAGGACCGGCUAACUACGUG